GCCGAGGUAGCUAAGCCCGGUUAGGCGUCUGGUGCAUUGCGCGCCAGCCGUUCCGGAAUACGGCGCCGGCCUUGAGAGCCGGUGGUGCCCUGCACCACGGGAGUUCGAAUCUCCCCCUCGGCG
This 123-nucleotide transfer RNA is filed under the name Thermoplasmata archaeon. RNAcentral's name for it is "tRNA-Ser". It matches the Rfam family "tRNA". Rfam says of the family: Transfer RNA (tRNA) molecules are approximately 80 nucleotides in length. Their secondary structure includes four short double-helical elements and three loops (D, anti-codon, and T loops). Lineage: Archaea; Methanobacteriati; Thermoplasmatota; Thermoplasmata. The record is from RNAcentral.